GCCUACGGGGGGCAGCAGUAGGGAAUCUUCCACAAUGGGCGAAAGCCUGAUGGAGCAACGCCGCGUGGGUGAAGAAGGUCUUCGGAUCGUAAAACCCUGUUGUUAGAGAAGAAAGUGCGUGAGAGUAACUGUUCACGUUUCGACGGUAUCUAACCAGAAAGCCACGGCUAACUACGUGCCAGCAGCCGCGGUAAUACGUAGGUGGCAAGCGUUAUCCGGAUUUAUUGGGCGUAAAGGGAACGCAGGCGGUCUUUUAAGUCCGAUGUGAAAGCCUUCGGCUUAACCGGAGUAGUGCAUUGGAAACU
RNAcentral lists this ribosomal RNA (305 nucleotides) under uncultured bacterium. Its description in RNAcentral is "bacterial SSU rRNA". It matches the Rfam family "Bacterial small subunit ribosomal RNA", at positions 337 to 634 of the family's 1533-position model. The record is from RNAcentral.